Long non-coding RNA from Brachypodium distachyon (stiff brome), 484 nucleotides. RefSeq lists it as uncharacterized. NCBI's taxonomy places the organism in Eukaryota, Viridiplantae, Streptophyta, Magnoliopsida, Poales, Poaceae. The transcript has 2 exons. The record is from RefSeq and is a predicted model, not a curated record.
GACUUGAGGAGAGAUUAUUCAGAAUUUGUGGCGGUGAUAAUGGAAGGAACAACAGUAUUUAUACAUACAGAAUACACUGCUUUUGAGGAGCGAUUCAACACAUGGGAAAAUUCUGUUUUUUGAAACAGGGUAUGGUUGGUCGGGAUCCUACAUGAGCAAGCACUGAAGAUUAUUGGCACAUAUGCUUGAGUAUGAGGAAAGAACAAUUUGAAGGAAAUGUAGUUCACGAAUGGUUUCGUUACUAACAAGGAACAAGGGAAUUCCUUCUAUGUUGUGAAUAAAACAGUUUCAUCCGACACCCAAAAUUUUGUCAUGAGAUGUGCGGAGAAGAUAUACAUGAAUUUCCUUCUGAAAUACUAUUUUGUACUAGCAAAAGACCCGUGCCACGGAACAACGGAAAAUUGUAUCAAAACGUCAAAUUAAAUGUUGAUGUAUUUCAUGAUUAUAUAUAUAACGAUUAUGAUAUGUUUAUUUUCGUAGGCUA